UAGGGAAUCUUCCACAAUGGACGCAAGUCUGAUGGAGCAACGCCGCGUGAGUGAAGAAGGUUUUCGGAUCGUAAAGCUCUGUUGUUGGUGAAGAAGGAUAGAGGUAGUAACUGGCCUUUAUUUGACGGUAAUCAACCAGAAAGUCACGGCUAACUACGUGCCAGCAGCCGCGGUAAUACGUAGGUGGCAAGCGUUGUCCGGAUUUAUUGGGCGUAAAGCGAGCGCAGGCGGAAAAAUAAGUCUAAUGUGAAAGCCCUCGGCUUAACCGAGGAACUGCAUCGGAAACUGUUUUUCUUGAGUGCAGAAGAGGAGAGUGGAACUCCAUGUGUAGCGGUGAAAUGCGUAGAGAUGUGGAGGAAUACCGAAGGCGAAGCCAGCCCCUUGGGAAUGUACUGACGCUCAUGUGCGAAAGCGNGGGGGAGCAAACAGGAUUAGAUACCCUGGUAGUCCACGCUGUAAACGCUGUCGAUUUGGGGUUGGGGUUUAACUCUGGCGCCCGUAGCUAACGUGAUAAAUCGACCGCCUGGGGAGUACGGCCGCAAGGUUA
RNAcentral lists this ribosomal RNA (547 nucleotides) under uncultured bacterium. RNAcentral's name for it is "bacterial SSU rRNA". It matches the Rfam family "Bacterial small subunit ribosomal RNA", at positions 355 to 896 of the family's 1533-position model. The record is from RNAcentral.